CUACGGGGCGCAGCAGUGAGGAAUUUUGCGCAAUGGGGGAAACCCUGACGCGGCAACGCCGCGUGAGUGAAGAAGGCCCUUGGGUCGUAAAGCUCUGUCAAUGGGGAAGAAGUUAUUAUGUGUUAAUAGCACAUUUUAUUGACGGUACCCAUGAAGGAAGCACCGGCUAACUCCGUGCCAGCAGCCGCGGUAAUACGGGGGGUGCAAGCGUUAUUCGGAAUUAUUGGGCGUAAAGGGCACGCAGGCGGUCCUGUCAGUCAGAUGUGAAAGCCCGGGGCUCAACCCCGGACGUGCAUUUGAAACAGCAGGACUUGAGUACGGGAGAGGAAAGGGGAAUUCCUGGUGUAGAGGUGAAAUUCGUAGAUAUCAGGAGGAACACCGGUGGCGAAGGCGCCUUUCUGGACCGAUACUGACGCUGAGGUGCGAAGGCGUGGGUAGCGAACGGGAUUAGAUACCCCUGUAGUC
RNAcentral lists this ribosomal RNA (465 nucleotides) under uncultured bacterium. RNAcentral describes it as "partial 16S ribosomal RNA". It matches the Rfam family "Bacterial small subunit ribosomal RNA", at positions 339 to 795 of the family's 1533-position model. The record is from RNAcentral.